This 253-nucleotide ribosomal RNA is filed under the name uncultured bacterium. RNAcentral describes it as "partial 16S ribosomal RNA". It matches the Rfam family "Bacterial small subunit ribosomal RNA", at positions 524 to 776 of the family's 1533-position model. The record is from RNAcentral.
UACGAAGGGGGCUAGCGUUGCUCGGAAUGACUGGGCGUAAAGGGCGCGUAGGCGGAUGGCACAGUCAGAUGUGAAAUUCCUGGGCUUAACCUGGGGGCUGCAUUUGAUACGUGUGAUCUAGAGUGAGGAAGAGGGUUGUGGAAUUCCCAGUGUAGAGGUGAAAUUCGUAGAUAUUGGGAAGAACACCGGUGGCGAAGGCGGCGACCUGGUCCUUGACUGACGCUGAGGCGCGAAAGCGUGGGGAGCAAACAGG